UAACCUAAACCUAGACUACAAAUAUCGGGACCUAGACUAACGCCUAAGGGGAGAGCAGCUGAAGAAGGCAGCGCCGUUUUCAGAAAAUGAAGAACCCAUCCCAAACGAUCUCCUUGAUCUGGUGAAUGAAGAAAAAGAAUACAAGCAAAAGGAACUCUUGGGACCUAAAAUCAGCGGCAACAUACAUGAAAGAUAGAUAGAAAAACUAAAAAAUAAGAGGACCAUCAUUUUCGAUCUUCUUUGGUCCCCAAAUCAGAAAAAAACGGAACAAAAAAACAAGCCUAAGAGACCUAGAAAAGAGCUGGAAAUCAGUCGUCUUCACUAAAGGAAACCACCCCUGUUCUCCAACAUCUUCAGCAGUCCCUCCCCGUCGCAGUCACGGUAGCCUGCUCCCCUUCACCCAUCGCUGUUUCUGCUUCUUUUCGUUCAUAGAAGCUCACCGGAAAACGAGCUGAAACGACCACCAAAGUCAACCUAGACAGCCUGCUUCUGCCCCGUUCUAACACAGUUGACGUUCUGUCCGUUUUCGAGUUUGCCGGCGAGUUUCGAUACUCCGUCUGAGGGCUGGUUCAUGGUCUUGUCCGUUUCUGCUUGUUCAAGUUGUUAAAAGUCAAGUUUUUUGGAUGAGGAAAGGUUGAAGUUUAAAGAGACAUGAAAACUUGAACUUUGGCUUGACUAGUGAAAAUUGCAUACAUGGAAAGAGGAAAAGAAAAUGGAGGAGAAAAAGAGAAAGGGGAAGCAAACAACUCAUCGUAAUAGACUUCUUUAGGACCAGAGAAAUUUGUUUUGGGAGGAUUUGUCUGCCCUUCUGAUGAGGAACCAGCAGAGAAAGAAGCUGAUUCAGGAACAUGGUGUGAAAGAGUCUGGAUUCAGAUUUUUCAUCUUGAAGUAGGAGAGAACAAGUUUGACCGAUGUUAGGUGUAGGUUUCAUCAUAGUUAUGUUUCUUAUGGUACCACUAUAAGAGUCAUUAAGGCCAAUUAAGAACUGAUUAAGUUUCAGAGUUUCCUUGUCCUUAAUCAUUUUUACCUUUCCAUCAUAUUGACAAUCACAGCUGCAAUAAGAAUUAUUGUUAAGAGAGUCUAACUCAUCCCACAACUUAAUAAGUUCAAUAUCACAGGAUCCCUCAGAUAGCAUACUGAGUUCCUUUUUGAACUGGAUAAGUUCAUGCCCUCAUUUGACUAACCAUAUCGUUAGUUAAGUUCAUUUCAGAUCUGAUAAGCAUAUUUGGAAUAGAUGAAACUGUUAGCUACGUCUGGGGUCAAAGAGUGAAGGUCAAUCACAAUUGUGGUGCAUGUGUUGCAAUCGAGGUUCGUGUUAUUCUAAUCUAGGCUCGACUAACCUCUUGCAAUUCACAUUAUCUUUUUGUACUUGAAACACUGCUCCAGAGAAUCAUGCUUGGCCGCAUCGCGGCCAAUGCCCUGUGAUCGCGAUUAAGCUUGCUGUCACCAGACCUGGCAAGCAAACAACGUUAAGGCAACAAUUAACACAUUGCUUCAGCUGUUCACACCAUCCCAACUACCUUCCAUUCAUUCCCAAGUUUCCGUUCUACAUCUCGACACCUUCAACACAGUUUUUAACCAGUCCAAACCAACAGUUUAGCAAAUCAUAAGCAUCAAUUUCAUGUAAGAUAAAGAUAAAAGAAGUAAAGGGGGAUUUACGUUGCCACUUUUCCUUAUUCCCUUUUAUCUUGCUUUUUGCUCUCUUAGAUUACAAUUUAUAAAAUCUAAUGUCACACCUCCUUUUUCCGUCCCCGCAAGGGGUGAAGGAGUUUUUUCAAUUAAAGGACAAUCGAAACGGGA
Molecule: non-coding RNA, 1800 nt
Organism: Nicotiana tabacum (common tobacco)
Lineage: Eukaryota; Viridiplantae; Streptophyta; Magnoliopsida; Solanales; Solanaceae
Source: RefSeq, a predicted model, not a curated record